ACGCUGGCGGCGUGCUUAACACAUGCAAGGUCGAACGAGGAGUCAGGGAGAGCUUGCUUGAACUGAUCCGAGUGGCGGACGGGUGAGUAACGCGUGAGGAACCUGUCUCAUACAGGGGGAUAACGCAUCGAAAGAUGUGCUAAUACCGCGUAGGACCACAGCAUCGCAUGGUGCAGAGGUGAAAGGAGCAAUCCGGUAUGAGGUGGACUCGCGUCUGAUUAGAUAGUUGGUGAGGUAACGGCCCACCCAAGUCAACGAUCAGUAGCCGACCUGAGAGGGUGAUCGGCCACAUUGGGACUGAGACACGGCCCAGACUCCUACGGGAGGCAGCAGUGGGGAAUAUUGGGCAAUGGGCGAAAGCCUGACCCAGCAACGCCGCGUGAAGGAAGAAGGUUUUCGGAUCGUAAACUUCUGUCCUAUAAGAAGAUAGUGACGGUAUUAUAGGAGGAAGCCCGGCUAACUACGUGCC
RNAcentral lists this ribosomal RNA (469 nucleotides) under uncultured bacterium. RNAcentral's name for it is "bacterial SSU rRNA". It matches the Rfam family "Bacterial small subunit ribosomal RNA", at positions 33 to 509 of the family's 1533-position model. The record is from RNAcentral.